GACGCAGGAGUGUGAGUCAGAGAAAGAGAGAGAUUUGAAGAUACUACACUGCUGGUUUUGAAGAUGGAAGAAGAGGCCACAAGCCAAGGAAUGCAGGUGAACCCAGAAGUGGAAACCAAAGCUGAGCAAGGUGCUGCCAGUACUCUAAACACCUUCACCUGCAGAGCAUUACACAGUUUCGGCAUUGGAACGGAUCUUGAAAAGAUAAUAGGGUCAACUGCAGACCCAAAACUUAAAUCUUCCCUACAACCUCCCUCCAAGGUGAAUGGCCAGAGACCACUAGUGACAGGAGACUUGCUGCUUCUCGAAAUAGUCCUUUCUGUCUUGGCACCCUGGAAGACCUCAGAUGAGUAUCCUUUCCAGGUCUUUCUCUGCUCUGAUCUUUAUCUCACAGUCAGCAUGACCCAGCCUCAUUAGCCCACUGGUUUCCAGUUGGGUUUGAUCAAUGGGAGACAAUUCCAGAAGAUAAGAAGCAAGUGGAAGCUUACUUCUUCGGUGUAAGCAGAAGAGACUGAGUUAUUUAUUCUCGCUUCUUGGCAAACCGAUUCUGGCAGAGGCUGUGAUAGAUCCUAUAAGCCGGUUCCUCUUCGGUGGCUUCAGCUGGCUCCUGGUUCCAGUUACACAAACUCCUCCCUACGCCUUUAGGCCCUAGGAUGGUGACAUCCUGCUGCUGCUCUUCCCUGGGUGCUUCAACAUCCCUUACUAAUACCCUAACUCUACCCGCAUCUCUGUAAAUAGCUCCUUUGAGGAAUCCUCCUUAAAAUCCCAGUGUAAUAGGACUUCUGUUUGUUGGGACCCUGGCUUAUAGACUGGUCUUCCUGCUUGCACUCCUGGCCUCCCACAGUGAUCCUUCUCAAACAUGAGUCACAUCAUAUCAUUCCUCUGCUCAAAAACCCUCUGGCGGCUUCUAUCUCACUGAGACUCCUUGCAAUGACUUAAAAGGUUUCUAUCUCAAUCCUUUCAAAUCAACUGUAGCUUUGUAUAACAAAUGUUUUUAGUUCUCAUGAAAUGAAAGCGUGUAUAUAUAUAUAUAUUAAUUUCAGAAAAUAUUAAUAUGAUGAAUAAAAGGAAAAUAGUAAUAAAAUAAUAUAAAUUUCAGCAUUAAAAUAUUCAGCAUGACCACAACUAGACCACAUAAUGAAAUGGUCAGAGGAUUUCAUCUAUAUCUAGAACCACCAA
This 1179-nucleotide long non-coding RNA is filed under the name Equus caballus (horse). Its description in RNAcentral is "lncRNA (ENSECAG00000045662.1)". Lineage: Eukaryota; Metazoa; Chordata; Mammalia; Perissodactyla; Equidae. The record is from RNAcentral.